RNAcentral lists this unclassified non-coding RNA (513 nucleotides) under Bromus lanceolatus. RNAcentral describes it as "partial external transcribed spacer". The record is from RNAcentral. Lineage: Eukaryota; Viridiplantae; Streptophyta; Magnoliopsida; Poales; Poaceae.
AUAUAAUGUGCCUGUUGAUAUCACGGCAUCCUCGCUCUCGCUUUUGGUUUAGGAUGCUGCUUACGAUAAAGGCUCGAGGCCCUUUGGGUUGCCUCGAUCCGAAACGAUGCUCUUUCCGAAAUGGCGAUAACCGGGUACAUGUCUUGCCUUUGCCUCUCCACAGUUAUGUGGUAGGAUACGCAACCCUAUGAUCCGGCCCUCAUGGAGGAGGAGACAUGUUUUUUUCCGAAAUGGCGACAACCGGGUAAAUGUCUUGCCUCUACCUCUCCACAGUUACGUGGUAGGAUACGCAAGCAUCAUCCGAUCCUCAUGGAGGAGGAAACAUGCUCUUUUUGAAAUGGCGAUAACCGGGUUCAUGUCUUGCCUUUACCUCCCCACAAUUACGUGGUAGGAUACGCAACCCUAUGAUCCGGCCCUCAUGGAGGAUGAGCAAUGCCCGCACAAAAGCGACAACUGGCUCGGCUGUUGCGUUUGCCUUUCCACGCAAGUGGAAUCGCAGGGUAACUACCGAUG